This 337-nucleotide ribosomal RNA is filed under the name uncultured Omnitrophica bacterium. Its description in RNAcentral is "bacterial SSU rRNA". It matches the Rfam family "Bacterial small subunit ribosomal RNA", at positions 29 to 351 of the family's 1533-position model. Lineage: Bacteria; Pseudomonadati; Candidatus Omnitrophota. The record is from RNAcentral.
AACGAACGCUGGCGGCGUGGUUUAGGCAUGCAAGUCGAACGAUCCCUCUCGCAAGAGGGGGAUAGUGGCAAACGGGUGAGGAACACGUGAGUAAUCUACCAUUAGGUUCGGGACAACUUGCCGAAAGGUAAGCUAAUACCGGAUAAGACCACUAUUUCACAGAGAUAGCGGUUAAAGGUGGGAUCCUGAAAAUGGACCUGCCACCUGAUGAUGAGCUCGCGUCCUAUCAGCUAGUUGGUGGGGUAAUGGCCUACCAAGGCGAAGACGGGUAGCUGGUCUGAGAGGAUGGUCAGCCACACUGGGACUGAGACACUGCCCAGACUCCUACGGGAGGCUG